CCUCGGCGGGAUCUCUGCCCCGGGUGCGUCGCAGCCCCGGACCAAGGCGCCCGCCGGAGGACCAACCAAAACUCUUAUUGUAUACCCCCUCGCGGGUUUUUUUAUAAUCUGAGCCUUCUCGGCGCCUCUCGUAGGCGUUUCGAAAAUGAAUCAAAACUUUCAACAACGGAUCUCUUGGUUCUGGCAUCGAUGAAGAACGCAGCGAAAUGCGAUAAGUAAUGUGAAUUGCAGAAUUCAGUGAAUCAUCGAAUCUUUGAACGCACAUUGCGCCCGCCAGUAUUCUGGCGGGCAUGCCUGUCCGAGCGUCAUUUCAACCCUCGAACCCCUCCGGGGGGUCGGCGUUGGGGAUCGGCCCUCCCUUAGCGGGUGGCCGUCUCCGAAAUACAGUGGCGGUCUCGCCGCAGCCUCUCCUGCGCAGUAGUUUGCACACUCGCAUCGGGAGCGCGGCGCGUCCACAGCCGUUAAACACCCAACUUCUGAAAUGUUGACCUCGGAUCAGGUAGGAAUACCCGCUGAACUUAAGCAUAUCAAUAAGCGGAGGAAAAGAAACCAACAGGGAUUGCCCCAGUAACGGCGAGUGAAGCGGCAACAGCUCAAAUUUGAAAUCUGGUCCCUAGGGCCCGAGUUGUAAUUUGUAGAGGAUGCUUUUGGUGAGGUGCCGCCCGAGUUCCCUGGAACGGGACGCCACAGAGGGUGAGAGCCCCGUCUGGCUGGCCGCCGAGCCUCUGUAAAGCUCCUUCGACGAGUCGAGUAGUUUGGGAAUGCUGCUCAAAAUGGGAGGUAUAUGUCUUCUAAAGCUAAAUAUUGGCCAGAGACCGAUAGCGCACAAGUAGAGUGAUCGAAAGAUGAAAAGCACCUUGAAAAGAGGGUUAAAUAGUACGUGAAAUUGUUGAAAGGGAAGCGCUUGUGACCAGACUUGGGCGCGGCGGAUCAUCCGGGGUUCUCUCCGGUGCACUUCGCCGCGUCUAGGCCAGCAUCAGUUCGUCGCGGGGGAAAAAGGCUUCGGGAA
This 1009-nucleotide ribosomal RNA is filed under the name fungal sp. RNAcentral's name for it is "eukaryotic LSU rRNA". The stretch from base 486 to 1009 matches the Rfam family "Eukaryotic large subunit ribosomal RNA", at positions 1 to 534 of the family's 3401-position model. Lineage: Eukaryota; Fungi. The record is from RNAcentral.